Molecule: non-coding RNA, 104 nt
Filed under: Bacillus sp. (in: firmicutes)
Lineage: Bacteria; Bacillati; Bacillota; Bacilli; Caryophanales; Bacillaceae
Description: Bacillus sp. TPP sequence
Rfam family: TPP riboswitch aptamer (THI element)
About the family: Vitamin B(1) in its active form thiamin pyrophosphate (TPP) is an essential coenzyme that is synthesised by coupling of pyrimidine and thiazole moieties in bacteria.
Source: RNAcentral
GAUUUCCACUAGGGGUGUCAGUGUAGCUGACUGAGAGAGGAUAACCUCAACUCUUAUAACCUGAACUAGCUUGAACUAGCGUAGGGAAGUGGUGUGGCACAUCA